AAGAAUAAUUUGCCUUAUAAUUUGAGGCUAGAAUGAACGUUUUGACGAAGGUUAAUCUGUCUCUAUCCUAUUUUUUAGAAUUUAAUUUUUAAAGUGAAAAAGCUUGAAUUUUUUAAAGGGACGAGAAGACCCUAUUGAGCUUGUAAUUUUAUUACUAUCAUGUAUUUAAUAUAUAAAGUAGUAUAUAAAUUUUAAUUGGGGUGAUUAAGGAAUAAAUAAUUAAAUUAAUAACUUCCUUAGGUUUAAUAUUGUUAGAUAAAGUAACCAAUAUUAUUGCUUAUAUUAUAGUUACCAUAGGGAUAACAGCGUAAUUUGUUUAGAGAGUUCUUAUUGAAAAAUGAGAUUGCGACCUCGAUGUUGGAUUAAAGUAACCUUAAGGUGCAGAAGCUU
This 390-nucleotide ribosomal RNA is filed under the name Mastigoteuthidae environmental sample cf. Idioteuthis hjorti. Its description in RNAcentral is "partial 16S ribosomal RNA". Lineage: Eukaryota; Metazoa; Mollusca; Cephalopoda; Oegopsida; Mastigoteuthidae. The record is from RNAcentral.